AAAGUGUUGUGUGUAUAAGAUCGUUGAUCAAGGAACAAUCGUAGAAAUUAAAGAUACUUCUGACUUAUUAUAUGUGAGCUGUUGCUGUUGCUGUCGUUGACUCUGGCUUUGUUUUUCUAUUUUCGCUUUGAAAAGAGUCGAUUUACCGCAGUAAUAAACAAUCAAAACAAAUACAAAGGCGACGUUUUAUUGGGCAUGCUUGGUUAGGCAUCCUCCUUGCUCACCUUUCUCCUCCAUCGACACGGACAUCGUCAUAAACAUGGACAUAGAUGUGGAUGUGGAUGUGGUUGUAGUUGUAGUUGUGGAUGUGAACAAGCCAUGACUGGGCGCGUCGAGCUCUACGUGGGUGCGUGAUCCGGAGGCGACUCGACUCGAUUCGAUUUGUUAUAUUUAUGGUGUCUGCUGUAAGUUAGCCAAAGUCGUAGUGGAUGUUGAAGCCAAAACAAAUUUUUGGUUCGUCUAAUGGCAAAAUGCCAAAUAUUAAAAAUACCUUUUAAAACGCAAA
This is a long non-coding RNA of Drosophila innubila, 505 nucleotides long. RefSeq lists it as uncharacterized. The record is from RefSeq and is a predicted model, not a curated record. The transcript is spliced from 2 exons. NCBI's taxonomy places the organism in Eukaryota, Metazoa, Arthropoda, Insecta, Diptera, Drosophilidae.